Molecule: non-coding RNA, 385 nt
Organism: Paramuricea clavata
Lineage: Eukaryota; Metazoa; Cnidaria; Anthozoa; Malacalcyonacea; Plexauridae
Source: the annotation of a GenBank genome assembly
UUCGCCUUUACGUUUUCUAAAAGCAACAGCUAACCAUUCGCCUUGAUUGAAAAAAGUGAAGGUUAAUCCCUUUACUUUCUCACCAUUUUGGCCACUUUCAAAAACUCGAAAAGUGAACAAAAAGGAGAAAUCGCAGCGUAAAGUACCUACUUACCAGUAAUAAUGUUUUGGCCAAUAAUCAAAUAUAUGGCAUUUUUGGCAACUUUACCAAUUUCGGGAAAAAAUGGUUAAAAAGAAAAGCCUAUUAAACACUUCCCUUUUUCUCCGCCCAGCACCCAGCCUGCGACCGGGCAUACUCAGAUGCUGGAAUGGAUGUUGGUCAUUUUAUAUCAGCAAAAGUGAUAGAAUGAAAUAAUAAAAAUGGGUUUUAACGCAUUUGAGUUGG